UUUAUGGAGAGUUUGAUCCUGGCUCAGGACGAACGCUGGCGGCGUGCCUAAUACAUGCAAGUCGAGCGGAGUUUUAAAAGCUUGCUUUUAAAACUUAGCGGCGGACGGGUGAGUAACACGUGGGCAACCUGCCCUGUAGACUGGGAUAACUUCGGGAAACCGAAGCUAAUACCGGAUAAUCUUUGGAACUUCAUGGUUCUAAAGUAAAAGUUGGGUUUACCUAACACUACGGGAUGGGCCCGCGGCGCAUUAGCUAGUUGGUAAGGUAACGGCUUACCAAGGCGACGAUGCGUAGCCGACCUGAGAGGGUGAUCGGCCACACUG
Molecule: non-coding RNA, 324 nt
Filed under: Anaerobacillus arseniciselenatis
Lineage: Bacteria; Bacillati; Bacillota; Bacilli; Caryophanales; Bacillaceae
Description: Bacillus arseniciselenatis Bacterial small subunit ribosomal RNA
Rfam family: Bacterial small subunit ribosomal RNA
Source: Rfam by way of RNAcentral